Molecule: ribosomal RNA, 301 nt
Filed under: uncultured bacterium
Lineage: Bacteria
Description: partial 16S ribosomal RNA
Rfam family: Bacterial small subunit ribosomal RNA
Source: RNAcentral
CAGUAGCCACGGGAAUACGGAGGGGGCUAGCGUUGUUCGGAAUUACUGGGCGUAAAGCGCACGUAGGCGGCUUGGUAAGUUAGAGGUGAAAGCCUGGAGCUCAACUCCAGAAUUGCCUUUAAGACUGCCGAGCUAGCAGGUGAGAGAGGUAAGUGGAAUUCCGAGUGUAGAGGUGAAAUUCGUAGAUAUUCGGAAGAACACCAGUGGCGAAGGCGGCUUACUGGCUCAUACUGGACGCUGAGGCACGAAAGCGUGGGGAGCAAACAGGAUUAGAUACCCCUGUAGUCCCUGUCUCUUAUAC